CCAAGCAAGGAAGAGAGGGAAAGAAAUGAAGAACAAACCCUAGGUGAAGAAUUUCAAGAGAAAAAGUGUGAAAAAUCAAGGAAAACAAGUAAAAAAGGUAGGAUUUUUUAACUUAAGCUUGAAAUCUAUUUUCCUUUAGCAUUUCUCUUUAUUUUUCAUGCUUAAAUUACAUAUUUUCAUGAUGAAUUCAUGGCUGGUCAAAAUGGGUAUGGAGAGAGAAAGAUGUUGGAAUGAUUUGAUUUUAAGUUAUGUUAGUGUUUUUAGUUAGUUUAGUAUAUUUAGAAACAAAACAACAAGAAAAGAAUCCAUUUUUCCCAUGAAUCUUCAUUGGCCGAAUCUUCCUUGAUAUGUGUAGGAGAUGGAUUGUUAUUAUUUCAAGAGAAAUGGCUUAGAAAAUGAUGAAUAAUGGUGAGAAAAUUAAGUAAGAAAAAUCACGAUGUUAGUGCACUGUAAUGGCCGAAUUUUUCCAUGAAAAAAAUGGGAAGGUUUUGAUGUUGAAAUUGGUGUUAUUUGAAUAAUGUUUGGUGAAUUGAGGUAUUAGAAAAGAAAUGGAGUAAUUUGGGAUUAAAUUGGACGCGUUAGUAAUUUAAUCGGGUGAUAAGACGAAUUAGGCCAAUACCAAGUUUAGAUAGUUACUAGUGCAUUUUUGCAUUCCACAUCAUGCAUUAGUAGUCUAAAUUAGUUUAAUUUCAAUUUAGUACCAAUGUGGUGAAUUUCUCGAUUUUGUAUUAUAUCAAGGUGGUGAGUCCUCCGAUAAAGGUAAGGGAAUUACACCCGAGGACCAGUAGUCUGAGUAUUUCGAGAAUCUACACUCUAGACCUAGUGAGUAAACUUACUGUCAUUUUAAUUAUCUAGGAUGACUUUUAGACGAUUUCAUGAAUUCUAUGAAAAACUAGAUUUUAAAAGGUAAAUUUUCAUAUUUUAUGAAUACAUGUGUUUCAAUGAAAUUAAUUUAUAAAUUGUUUUGAAAUUAAUUAUGAUUUUGAAAAAUAUAGUAUACGGAGACUGUUAUUUGUUGCAAUGUGAUUAUUUACAUUGAUUGGCUUAUGAUAAAUUGAGCAUGAUUGGCUAGUUGGCAAUUAUAUUGAAAAACGGAUUGUUUGGUUGCCUUGAAAGGCUAUGAAUUACAAUAAUUGUCAUAUCAUGUUAUUGAAUUUUAUUGAUUGGUGGGAUAAUUAUUAGCUUACUGCAGUAGGCGGGUUCCGUGGACCAGCCUAUGAGAGGGACACAGUAACCCCGUUUAUAUGUGCUCACCUCGGUUAUAGAGGCGCGUAGGGUAGCUCCUAAGGUGAUAUUUGAGAUCACUUCACGCUGAACCACCACGUGAUGGUGAACUCAGCCAACGCCAAGGAACAGCUGUAAUAUCCAACGAAAAAUAUAUUUUAUACGAAAUGUGGAAUUUUAACAGCUUUGGCGGUCUCGAUAGGAUGCCUCGACCAAUGUGUCCCCAAUGAUAGAUUUAUGACAUAAGCCUAGUUUUUAUAAGAUUCAUAAGCUUCUUUACGUAUUUUGAAUAAAAUGUGUUCUAAUGAUGUGAUCCAGUUUAUGAUAAUUUACCUUAUUGUCUCCAUGUACUCAACUCUAGAUGUUUAUGAUGAUGUCUGUUUACUCACUGAGAUUUUAUAAUCUCACCACCCUCUUUUCUACCCAUUUCAGGCUCAGUAUAGGCUGUAAAUAGCUGAUAGCGUCGAAGGCUACAGUUGACUCGACUACUUCAAAAAUCAUAGGUUCAUAGCCUUCUUUCACUUUUGUCAUUUAAGAGCCCACGUGUCACUGUAAAUUAAAUUUCAUACUUUAGUUAUCUGUACUACUGUAUGUAAGAAUUUAUUUUGUUUUUACUCUAAUAAAAAAAUUAAUUACGC
RNAcentral lists this long non-coding RNA (1862 nucleotides) under Theobroma cacao (cacao). RNAcentral describes it as "long non-coding RNA (TCAC_LNC003416)". The record is from RNAcentral. Lineage: Eukaryota; Viridiplantae; Streptophyta; Magnoliopsida; Malvales; Malvaceae.